Long non-coding RNA from Epinephelus fuscoguttatus (brown-marbled grouper), 987 nucleotides. RefSeq lists it as uncharacterized. NCBI's taxonomy places the organism in Eukaryota, Metazoa, Chordata, Actinopteri, Perciformes, Serranidae. The transcript is spliced from 6 exons. The record is from RefSeq and is a predicted model, not a curated record.
GCAGUGGAAGUGCAGUGCAAAAAUAAAACAAGGUUUAGAUACAUUAUUUAUCCGUAGGAUAUGUGCGCAUUAUAACAGACCAAUUAAAUAACACCUGUAAUCACUGUCACACCUGUUCACACCUGCUGAUUACGGGGUCACCUGUGGACUAACAGUAUACUGCAUUACAACCAGGGAGGAAUGGCCACCUUAGCAACAGCUACUGCUAGCUAGCUCCGGUUCCCACAGCAUGUGUGACGAAACGAGAAACUCUGCAGCUGAGGCCACUGGUAUACUGAAUACACGGCUUGUUUCAUACCAACACCUGAGGAACCCAGCUUUACAGUAAACCUAUACAGUAUUACCACUGUGCGACAUCCAGUGAGUAAUUGUGCAUUUCCACGUGCAUAAAAAUGUUUUUCUGCAGCAUGUGUGAUGAAACGAGAAACUCUGCAGCUGAGGCCACUGGUAUACUGAAUACACGUUGGAUCCAAACUCUUCAACCCAUAGAAAGUGGCAGUGCUGAUCGUGCUGGCCCUUUGACUUCAUUCUCCAAUAUGCAGUUACUGCAGCUUGAGCUCCACAUCUCUUUGAAGGCCGAGGACAAUCAGACCACCAUCUACGAAUAGAUCUGCAAUUGAGAGGGUCAUCGUAUCUAGAAUAUCUGCCAGCUACUCAGGAUUAUACAGAAGCAUGAUGCAUUCAGAUGCAUUCAGAAUGUAAAGGUUUGCCUAGUUUUUCUGAAUUACCAAGAUUAUCUUUCAUUCAGAAAAAUAAUAGCAGAAUCUUUGAAAAUUUAUCUCAUAAUUCUGAGAUAAAGUCCAUUUUUUAGAGACGGUUCCCGUCCUAUCUAGCUCAGUUUUGACAGUUUAAUGUUCAACCAACAAUGGCUAAGCAGAAUUUUCAAUCAUAAGAUUUAAGUCUAAAACCAGGUAAAGGACCUUUAAAGUUUAAUUUUCCCCCCAAGGCAUGACAGGAGAACAGGAGACUGCAAGAAAUGAAAAAAUA